AUGCCCCUUCCUUCUCAGCACCCUGCACAGACCCCUCUGUGGGACCCUCAGUGCCGAGCCCACCAGCACCACUCACCAGCACCAAGGCCACCAGCACCAAGGCCACCAGCUCCGAGGCCACCAACUCCGAGGCCACCUGUGGUGAGGAGCCUGGUGCUGCCCUCACCUGCCCCGGGGAGAACGCCGGCACCGGGUACCCCCACGCUCGGCACCAACCCAGGGACGCCGCCAACGCCGGGUGUCACUCCUGGCACACCGGGACCACCGGGCACCGCGCCUGGCACCCCUCCGACACCGGCACCUGCAGGAGAGGGGGUGAGGACACAGCCCAGGGCUGCAUGGGGCUGGGCAAUGCCAUGCCGGCAUACGCUAACCCUGUGUGGAGAUGGACUCACCGUACUUGGCUGCCUUGGCUGCUGCUUUUGCUGCUGCUGCCGGACCUCCGACUCCUGGGACAGUGAGACAAGGAUGGCCCCGAGCUGACAGAGACCACCGAGGGAGUCCGAGGUGUCCAUCCUGCCCCAGCCCUGUCCCAGUGCCAGCCCAGCUGCCACCACCGCCUGCCUCACCUGGGACACCUCCAAUGCCGGGGGCCAGGCCACCCACACCAGGAACCAAGCCACCCACACCAGGAGCCAGGCCACCUAUGCCAGGAGCCAGGCCACCCACGCCAGGAGCCAGGCCACCUGCCCCUGCAAGAAGAAGGAGAAGGACUGGGGCUCCAGCUCAGGAAGAGGGACCGGGGCUGCGAGAGGGCUGGGAUGGCCGGAGGUGCAGGUGGGAGGACGGUGGGAGAGGUGGUGGGAAGGAUGGUGGAUGG
RNAcentral lists this long non-coding RNA (820 nucleotides) under Anas platyrhynchos platyrhynchos (common mallard). RNAcentral's name for it is "lncRNA (ENSAPLG00000018370.1)". Lineage: Eukaryota; Metazoa; Chordata; Aves; Anseriformes; Anatidae. The record is from RNAcentral.